This 2244-nucleotide ribosomal RNA is filed under the name Staphylococcus aureus DAR3157. RNAcentral's name for it is "bacterial LSU rRNA". It matches the Rfam family "Bacterial large subunit ribosomal RNA", at positions 678 to 2925 of the family's 2925-position model. The record is from RNAcentral. Lineage: Bacteria; Bacillati; Bacillota; Bacilli; Caryophanales; Staphylococcaceae.
CGAGUCUGAAUAGGGCGUUUAGUAUUUGGUCGUAGACCCGAAACCAGGUGAUCUACCCUUGGUCAGGUUGAAGUUCAGGUAACACUGAAUGGAGGACCGAACCGACUUACGUUGAAAAGUGAGCGGAUGAACUGAGGGUAGCGGAGAAAUUCCAAUCGAACCUGGAGAUAGCUGGUUCUCUCCGAAAUAGCUUUAGGGCUAGCCUCAAGUGAUGAUUAUUGGAGGUAGAGCACUGUUUGGACGAGGGGCCCCUCUCGGGUUACCGAAUUCAGACAAACUCCGAAUGCCAAUUAAUUUAACUUGGGAGUCAGAACAUGGGUGAUAAGGUCCGUGUUCGAAAGGGAAACAGCCCAGACCACCAGCUAAGGUCCCAAAAUAUAUGUUAAGUGGAAAAGGAUGUGGCGUUGCCCAGACAACUAGGAUGUUGGCUUAGAAGCAGCCAUCAUUUAAAGAGUGCGUAAUAGCUCACUAGUCGAGUGACACUGCGCCGAAAAUGUACCGGGGCUAAACAUAUUACCGAAGCUGUGGAUUGUCCUUUGGACAAUGGUAGGAGAGCGUUCUAAGGGCGUUGAAGCAUGAUCGUAAGGACAUGUGGAGCGCUUAGAAGUGAGAAUGCCGGUGUGAGUAGCGAAAGACGGGUGAGAAUCCCGUCCACCGAUUGACUAAGGUUUCCAGAGGAAGGCUCGUCCGCUCUGGGUUAGUCGGGUCCUAAGCUGAGGCCGACAGGCGUAGGCGAUGGAUAACAGGUUGAUAUUCCUGUACCACCUAUAAUCGUUUUAAUCGAUGGGGGGACGCAGUAGGAUAGGCGAAGCGUGCGAUUGGAUUGCACGUCUAAGCAGUAAGGCUGAGUAUUAGGCAAAUCCGGUACUCGUUAAGGCUGAGCUGUGAUGGGGAGAAGACAUUGAGUCUUCGAGUCGUUGAUUUCACACUGCCGAGAAAAGCCUCUAGAUAGAAAAUAGGUGCCCGUACCGCAAACCGACACAGGUAGUCAAGAUGAGAAUUCUAAGGUGAGCGAGCGAACUCUCGUUAAGGAACUCGGCAAAAUGACCCCGUAACUUCGGGAGAAGGGGUGCUCUUUAGGGUUAACGCCCAGAAGAGCCGCAGUGAAUAGGCCCAAGCGACUGUUUAUCAAAAACACAGGUCUCUGCUAAACCGUAAGGUGAUGUAUAGGGGCUGACGCCUGCCCGGUGCUGGAAGGUUAAGAGGAGUGGUUAGCUUCUGCGAAGCUACGAAUCGAAGCCCCAGUAAACGGCGGCCGUAACUAUAACGGUCCUAAGGUAGCGAAAUUCCUUGUCGGGUAAGUUCCGACCCGCACGAAAGGCGUAACGAUUUGGGCACUGUCUCAACGAGAGACUCGGUGAAAUCAUAGUACCUGUGAAGAUGCAGGUUACCCGCGACAGGACGGAAAGACCCCGUGGAGCUUUACUGUAGCCUGAUAUUGAAAUUCGGCACAGCUUGUACAGGAUAGGUAGGAGCCUUUGAAACGUGAGCGCUAGCUUACGUGGAGGCGCUGGUGGGAUACUACCCUAGCUGUGUUGGCUUUCUAACCCGCACCACUUAUCGUGGUGGGAGACAGUGUCAGGCGGGCAGUUUGACUGGGGCGGUCGCCUCCUAAAAGGUAACGGAGGCGCUCAAAGGUUCCCUCAGAAUGGUUGGAAAUCAUUCAUAGAGUGUAAAGGCAUAAGGGAGCUUGACUGCGAGACCUACAAGUCGAGCAGGGUCGAAAGACGGACUUAGUGAUCCGGUGGUUCCGCAUGGAAGGGCCAUCGCUCAACGGAUAAAAGCUACCCCGGGGAUAACAGGCUUAUCUCCCCCAAGAGUUCACAUCGACGGGGAGGUUUGGCACCUCGAUGUCGGCUCAUCGCAUCCUGGGGCUGUAGUCGGUCCCAAGGGUUGGGCUGUUCGCCCAUUAAAGCGGUACGCGAGCUGGGUUCAGAACGUCGUGAGACAGUUCGGUCCCUAUCCGUCGUGGGCGUAGGAAAUUUGAGAGGAGCUGUCCUUAGUACGAGAGGACCGGGAUGGACAUACCUCUGGUGUACCAGUUGUCGUGCCAACGGCAUAGCUGGGUAGCUAUGUGUGGACGGGAUAAGUGCUGAAAGCAUCUAAGCAUGAAGCCCCCCUCAAGAUGAGAUUUCCCAACUUCGGUUAUAAGAUCCCUCAAAGAUGAUGAGGUUAAUAGGUUCGAGGUGGAAGCAUGGUGACAUGUGGAGCUGACGAAUACUAAUCGAUCGAAGACUUAAUCAA